Molecule: small nuclear RNA, 156 nt
Organism: Mastomys coucha (southern multimammate mouse)
Lineage: Eukaryota; Metazoa; Chordata; Mammalia; Rodentia; Muridae
Product: U1 spliceosomal RNA
Exons: 1
Source: RefSeq, a predicted model, not a curated record
AUAGAGAGAGAGAGAGAUGCUGUGAUCAGGAAGUGUUUUCCAGUAAGAAGCUUAGCCACUGCACUUGGAUAUGUUGGCCCCUGAGAUUUCCCCAAAAGUGGUAAACUCAACUGUAUUGUCUGUGAUAGUGGGGGGAACUGCAUUCAAGUUCUCUUC